CAUUUCAUUUCAAAUUUCAAAAAACAACUUCCCUUCGCAGCUUCUCUCUCAUUUCUAAAUUUCUUCAUCUUUCUUCUCAACGGCAACUAUCUCCCUCCUCUUCCCCCUCUCUCCGCCUCCCCUUCUCUCUCGAUCUCUUGUCUCCUUCGUCUUCCUCAGAAUCUUCACUCUUCCUUUCUCUCAAUUUCUAUUCUCUAAAAUGAAGCAUCCACCCAAGAAACCCUAUCUUGCUAAAUACCCAUCUCGCCGAUCCACUGCCAUUUUCUAUUCCAUGCGCUAACGGCGCCGGAAUCAAGGGCGGAAGACCCCUCGGAAGCCUAUGUCGUCUUCCAAAGAAAAUGCUUCACCGUCAGAUCCCAAAUUCCCAACUCCAUGGUUCCCGAUUCCAAACCCUCGCCGACUAAGUUGAAGAGCCUGCUCCAUCUUCUAACCCACUUAAGCGGAAGCUCAGUAUGGAGACCGUUCCUGAGAAUUCCAUCCCUGGGUUGUCUGAUUCUGUUGUUAAGAUUAGAGAAGAUGUAAAAUCUGGUGUAGAAAAUUUAACAGAGGAGUGUGUAUCCACAAUGGCAGCCGUUACUCGGCUUCUAAUGAAGUCGAUUAUGGUGGCUCACUUUGGAAACUUGUUACAUAGCUACUGCCAAAAGCUUUAAAUUGCCUUCCGGAUGCACCUCAAAAUCAGCUUCAUUCUUUGUGUUUUCUAAUUUCUAGCUCACUCAAUUCAGCCAUGGAUGUACGGAGAUAUUCCAAAUUUUAUAAUGCAAAACCUGAUGAAGCCGAUGAUGGUGUUUGCACAAGAGCUUGGAGAUUCUUUUUAUCUUACUUCACAAUUGACGUUCUUUCAGUUCUUCCACUCCCCCAGGGUUUACAGAAAGAUUUGAACUUUUCAUUUGUGGUCGUGAGCUGGCCAAUGCAUUUUUCGAAUUGAUCGAUCGUAUUUAUCAGGUAAGAGGUGAUUAUAUCAAUCAUUAAUGUUAGAAGGGUGCACAGAUGAUGAAACUUUUUAGCCAAUUUCAUGGCAUUUGAAAGAGAGAAAGUACAUUAGUAUUGAACUCAAGUUAAACUGGAUAGUCUAUCACCUUUUGGAAGAUAACUUUCCUGUACUUUGUUCCAUCUUGUAUAGACCCUUUCAGUCGAAAGGUUACCAAAGGAAUCGUUUUUGUUAUGUGUUAUGUGCUUAACUCCAUAACAAUGUGCGUCCAAGCUCUACAUGAGCAUUCUAUUCUUCUUGCUUGGUAUACUUGUGCAUUAUUGGUUUAUGUGCCAUGUCAAGAAAUAAUAGUUUCUAUUGGAACGUUUUAGUGUUCCGGUUCCAUGAUAAUUGGAAUGGUUGUAAUGAUCUUUUUCUUUUAAAACAAACAAAAUUGGCACAGAGGAUGAUUAGAAGACCAGAUCAGGCAACACAAUGAGAAGCAUGGCUCAGCUGUUUCUUAUGUAUCUCGUUUCUUAUGUAAUGACUCUUUGGACUUCAAUUGCCAAAAAGAUGAGGAUGAUUCUUAUGAAGUGACACUUGAUGAUGAUUUUCUUACUGCUUUGGAAUAUGGAAUGCCACCAGCUUCUGGACUGAUGUAGGCUGGAAAAGGAGGUGAGCUAACAUUGAAUAGAAGAACCAUAACAAGAGGGGCACUGGAUUCAUUGAGAAAUGGGCGAGAGAUUCCAUGGCUCCCAUUUCUUUAACUUUUGCAAUCGAUAGUAAUGUCGAUCUUGACAGGAAUGUUGGAAUGAAGAUUUAGGAAUUAAUUCCUCUUUCUUAGAAGAAUCUAAAUCUAUACAAAGGUCUUCUUUUUUGUUUCCAAUCAUCUGAGGUAAUCUUGUAGGUUCUUUAAUUCUUGGUGGAAAUUCUAGACUACCUGAGGUAAUUUUUGCUUUCUUAAUAGUUUUUGUUGCAUGUUUUCAUGCCAUUCUUGAAAAUCUUGAGGUUGUUCUUGAUUGUUCCCAUGUUUGGUUUAGGUUUGUUUUGAACACCUUUUAGGUUUGUUUGAGACUCAAUUUGUUGCAUCUACACACUUAAUUGCUAUUUUGGGACUUGAAGUGCUUUUUUUACAAUGUUUGAAUUUUUUUGGUAAGUUAUGACUUACGAAAUUAUACUUGAGCAUUGUUAGGCUAUUUUUUAAGUUCGAAUGGUACUUAGACAUGUUGGUAGGUUAUGAGUUAUGAGUUACGAAAUUAUAUUUGUUGGGUCAUUUUGAUAGUUCAAGUGAUACUUAGACACGAUUUGAACAACUUUUAGGUUUGUUUGAGACUCAGUUUGUUGCAUCCACACACUUAAUUGCCAUUUUGGGUCUUGAAGUGCUUUUUUUACAAUGUUUGAAUUUUCUUGGUAGGUUAUGAGUUACGAAAUUAUACUUGAGCAUUGUUAGGCCAUUUUUUAAGUUCGAAUGGUACUUAGACAUGUUUUGAACAGGUGUUAGGUUGUUUCGAACUAAGUUUGUUGCACAUACAGACAUGAUUGCCAUCGAAGGGCUUUUUCCACACUUUUUUGAACUUUUUGGCAAGUUAUGAGUUACAAGCUUUUGCACUUAAGCGUCAUUGGGUCGUUUGAAAGCUAAGACGUGUUUCGAAUGCCUUUUUGGUCGGUUUGAAUCUAAGUUUGUUGCACUUACACACUUGGCAUUCUAGGUCUUGAAGUGCUUUUUUUCAAUCUUUUUUGAACUUUUUGGUACGUUGUGAGUUACGAACUUACAGUUAAGAUUUGUUAGAUCGUUUUGAAAGUUCAAGUGAUACUUGGACAUGUUUUGAAUGCGUUUUAGGUUGGUUUGACACUAAGUUUGUUGCACUCACACACACGGUUGCCACUUUGGGUCUUAAAGUGCUUUUUUCACACUUUUUGAACUUUCCGCUAGGUUGUGAGCUAUGAACUUACACUUAAGAUGUCUUAGGUCGUUUUUUAAGGUCCAAGUGAUACGUAGACAUGUUUUCAACACCUUUUAGGUUUGUUUUAAACUUAGUUUGUUGAACUUACGCACUUUGUUGCCAUUUUGGGUCUUGAAAGGCUCUUUUCUCACUUUUUUUUAACUUUUUGCUAGGUUAUGAGUAACGAACUUACACUUAAGCUUUGUUAGAUCGUUUCUAAAAUUCAAGUGAUAAUUAGACUCGUUUUGAACACUUUUAAGGUUGGUUUGAGGGUAAGUUUGUUGUACUUACACAUUUGGUUGCCAUUUCUUUUGUGGUCUUUGAAGUGCUUUUUUCACAGUUCUUGACUUUUUGGUACGUUGGGAGUUGUAAACUUACACUUAAACUUUGUGAGGUUGCUUUUAAGGGUCAAGUGAUACGUAGGCUCGGUUGGAACACUUUUUAAGUUUGUUUGAGACUAAGUCUGUUGCACUUACAUGCUUGGUCGGGUUGUGCCAUUUUAGGUCCUCGGUGCUUUUUUCACUCUUUUUUGAACUUUUUAGUCGGUUAUGAGUUGCGAA
RNA transcript from Cucumis melo (muskmelon), 3410 nucleotides. It is a transcript of the gene named cyclic nucleotide-gated ion channel 1-like, with no coding region annotated. The transcript is spliced from 7 exons. The record is from RefSeq and is a predicted model, not a curated record. NCBI's taxonomy places the organism in Eukaryota, Viridiplantae, Streptophyta, Magnoliopsida, Cucurbitales, Cucurbitaceae.